CCUGCGGGGGGCAGCAGUGGGGAAUAUUGGACAAUGGGCGAAAGCCUGAUCCAGCCAUGCCGCGUGUGUGAAGAAGGCCUUCGGGUUGUAAAGCACUUUCAGUGGGGAAGAAAGCCUUGGGGCUAAUACCCUCGAGGAAGGACAUCACCCACAGAAGAAGCACCGGCUAACUCCGUGCCAGCAGCCGCGGUAAUACGGAGGGUGCGAGCGUUAAUCGGAAUUACUGGGCGUAAAGCGCGCGUAGGCGGUCUGAUAAGCCGGUUGUGAAAGCCCCGGGCUCAACCUGGGAACGGCAUCCGGAACUGUCAGGCUAGAGUGAAGGAGAGGAAGGUAGAAUUCCCGGUGUAGCGGUGAAAUGCGUAGAGAUCGGGAGGAAUACCAGUGGCGAAGGCGGCCUUCUGGACUGACACUGACGCUGAGGUGCGAAAGCGUGGGUAGCAAACAGGAUUAGAUACCCCUGUAGUC
RNAcentral lists this ribosomal RNA (465 nucleotides) under Vreelandella stevensii. Its description in RNAcentral is "partial 16S ribosomal RNA". It matches the Rfam family "Bacterial small subunit ribosomal RNA", at positions 338 to 795 of the family's 1533-position model. The record is from RNAcentral. Lineage: Bacteria; Pseudomonadati; Pseudomonadota; Gammaproteobacteria; Oceanospirillales; Halomonadaceae.